This is a long non-coding RNA of Rhincodon typus (whale shark), 1387 nucleotides long. RefSeq lists it as uncharacterized. The record is from RefSeq and is a predicted model, not a curated record. The transcript is spliced from 5 exons. Lineage: Eukaryota; Metazoa; Chordata; Chondrichthyes; Orectolobiformes; Rhincodontidae.
CGUCAUCACUUGUUGCGGACUCGGUGACGUCACCGCGCCGAAUGCGUACUACGUCAUCGGAUCCUGAGUAUGGUCGCCAUUGGGUUAAACGCCUGAGAAAGCCGAGCGAGGAAGCUAAGUUGAAGAGGGGGGUGGGUGGGUAGAAACUGCGGCCUCUAAGCUACUUAGCCCGCCCCCAACACCCCGCACUCCGAGAGACCCCUUCGGAAUCCGAGCCCGGUGCAAGUGGCGAUUAAUGAAGAAUGUCUGCGACAAGCGUUGACCCUCAGAGAGCGAAAGGACAAGAGAAUAAAGUGCAAAAUGGUUCAUUGCAUCAAAAGGAUACAGUGCACGACAAUGAUUUUGAGCCAUACCUAAGUAGCCAGUCCAAUCAGGAAACAGUGCAGCUAAAGGGGCCAUCCGCAACUUGAAAAGAGUUCAUAUACGAAUAGGGAUGUGCACUGGAAUGAAAUCUACAGGUAGCAUCGGAAGAAUAUGAAGAAAAAAAAAAUUUUUGAACUAUAACAGUGAGCAAAAUUAAGAAAGUGAGAUAAUGAGGGAGAUGAAUUGGGCCUCUAUUCCACACAUAGUAUCUUUCAAGACAUUUUGCCUGAUGUGAAUGGAGAGAUUUACAGCAAUAACACAGCAUGUUCCAGAAACAACAUACCAAGCUGAAGACUCUGUCAGUCUCAAAGAAUGUGCAGCAAUCUUAUUUAUGGCAACAUCAUGGAUGGUUUUAAUCUUGUUCAGUUGUUGAAACAUGAGGCAGUUCUUGUUGAAUAGAUACAUAGCAACAUCUUCUAGCCAUUUAAUACCUUGAGAUUUUCAGCCUUUCAUUGAAAUCAUGGCUGAUCUGUGUCCUAUUUCCAUUUAUGCCUUUCUCAUAUUGCAUAGCGCUUAUUGCUUAAUAAAAAUCUAUCAAUAUUCAAUUUCAAAUUAACAGUUAAUUUGGAAUUCACUAUUUCCAGUAGGGAGAUCCAAAUGUCCUUAUGCCUGAAAGGUCUUAUUCUAAUUUUUACGUUAUAUACCCUAGGCCUAAACUGCCAACCAGUGGAAAUAAAAGUAUCUACCUACACUAUUAGAUCAAUCAUUUUAUCACUUCAUGGGAACAAAACUCUAUUUUAUCCGAUCUUUCUUGGUUUUGUAACCCUUGGACCCCAGUUAUCAAUCUGUUUGUUCUUACUUCCUACAAGACCAUUAUAUUCUAACUAUGGACUGCAAGAACUGUCUACACUGUACAAUAUUUAAAGUGUGUUUUUAUAAAGCUGAAGCUGGGCUGCUGUUGAUAACUCCAUGCUGGCUUUCUCUGGCAGGUGAAAAUCUUCAAGGUUUUCAAUCACUCUUUCCUUAAUUAUAGAUUCUUGUAAUUUCUGGCAACAAAUAUUAAAGCUAAAUUUGCAGUAAACCA